Molecule: long non-coding RNA, 1207 nt
Organism: Cygnus atratus (black swan)
Lineage: Eukaryota; Metazoa; Chordata; Aves; Anseriformes; Anatidae
Exons: 3
Source: RefSeq, a predicted model, not a curated record
GUAUUUUAGGAGCUCUCCCCCAGGAGAACCAGAAUUUGGAAGGAGGCUGGAAGCCCAAGUGGAAAGAUAUCUAUAAUGUUAACUUUGCCUGAUGAGCUUUUGUCGUGACAAGGACUGCAGAACUGUAAACCAGGAACAGUGCAAACAGGAUCGGCCAACAUUUUAUCUUCACAGCCCCAUUCUUUGACCUUGCCUUGAGCAUAGGCAGAAUCAUGCAGAACAGCGCCUACAAGUAAAAUAGAAAGCUACUUGGAAAAAAUGAGAAGAUGGUGGUAUUUGGCACAUGGCAAGACAUGUGAAAAUGAAAUAAAAACAUAACAGGAACCAAGAAAGAUCAACUAGCUGGAUGGCAGACCAGUAGCAGUUGUUUAGAAAUCAAAACAGGCUCAAACAAAACACCUAAGUCAUAAAUGUUUACUGUUGCCAACUUCAAAGCAUUCAAGCACAGAACAUAAGCCCAAGGGGAAAAAGCUGCACUAAAGGGCAAGUCUGCAUCAAAGAAAGGAUUAGAAAAAAUUAAAUGCUUACAGUAAUGAUGCUGUGGUCUAAAGCCCUCAGUGAGUUCCCCAUACAGUAGAGGGAUUUAUGAGCUCCCUGGUGAACUUAGGCCCUUAUUUUAAAGCUUUGUAAACAUUUAGUUAAUUGUCACCAUCUGCCUGCAUGGUAGCUGCACUUUGCAAUGUGAACACUGUGCUGAGGAGUUGUAUGACUUGAGGAAAGGGACAGUGAAUGAGGAGCACAAUGGCGAAUUUUCUGACUGUUCUGCAGCUGGCUUCAGUCAUCUCUACAGAUAAUGAUGACAAAAUAUGAUGAUACAGCUAACACUACCUGGGACCUGUUUUGUUUUCCCAGUAGUGGUACUAGUAGGAAAUUGAGGUAUACUUCUAAUAGUCAAAAAUUACCAACCUGAAAAUCCGUGUUUGUAGAUUUUGUAUUUCUCACAAAAUACACUGCCAGCACUGUCAUAAGCCCUCAACAUUAACAAGUUUAAACCUUAGAGGCUGCAAUUUUGCCAGCCCAUACUCUUCAAAGGGCAAAAAAACACUAAGCAAAAUCAGUUGGAUCUAAAAAAAAACAAACACAACCACUGUACAUUUAUCUCAGAGAAAAUGGUAAAGAAGUUUUACUUGCCUUCAUUAAAAGCAUUUACAUUUCAAAUUUAAAAUAUCUGAUCAAUCAAGAGGACUAAAGUAACUUUAAAAAGAUG